AGAUUGAACGCUGGCGGCAGGCCUAACACAUGCAAGUCGAGCGGCAGCACGGGUACUUGUACCUGGUGGCGAGCGGCGGACGGGUGAGUAAUGCCUAGGAAUCUGCCUGAUAGUGGGGGAUAACGUUCGGAAACGGACGCUAAUACCGCAUACGUCCUACGGGAGAAAGUGGGGGAUCUUCGGACCUCACGCUAUCAGAUGAGCCUAGGUCGGAUUAGCUAGUUGGUAGGGUAAGGCCUACCAAGGCUACGAUCCGUAACUGGUCUGAGAGGAUGAUCAGUCACACUGGAACUGAGACACGGUCCAGACUCCUACGGGAGGCAGCAGGUGGGGAAUA
RNAcentral lists this ribosomal RNA (337 nucleotides) under uncultured soil bacterium. Its description in RNAcentral is "bacterial SSU rRNA". It matches the Rfam family "Bacterial small subunit ribosomal RNA", at positions 26 to 363 of the family's 1533-position model. The record is from RNAcentral.